Molecule: non-coding RNA, 784 nt
Filed under: Paracymoriza distinctalis
Lineage: Eukaryota; Metazoa; Arthropoda; Insecta; Lepidoptera; Crambidae
Source: RNAcentral
AAUAAAUUUAUUAUGGUUUAAUAUAAUUUAUUUAUAAUUUAUUUUACAUAUAAAUUUUGGUAUAAAAUAUUUAAUUAUUUUAAAAAUAUUUAAUUAAAUUUAAUGUAGUAAUUAAUAUUAAAAAUUUAAGAAAUUAAGAUUUAAUAAUAUUAAAAUUAAUAACAAAUUUUGUGCCAGCAGUUGCGGUUAUACAAAAAUUAAAUUAAAUUUUAUUAGUAAUUUAAUAAUUAAUAUUUUUAAAUUUAAUUAAAUUUUAAAUUAUUAAGUGAAAUUUUAAUUUAAAUAAAAUUAAUAUUAAAUUUAAUAUUUAAUAAAUUUUAAAAAUAAACUAGGAUUAGAUACCCUAUUAUAAAAAAAUUUAAAUUUAAUACUAAAAUAUUAGAUGAUUAUUCAUUGAAACUUAAAUAAGUUGGCGGUAUUUUAGUUUAUUUAGAGGAAUCUGUUUAAUAAUUGAUAAUCCACGAAUAAAUUUACUUAAUUUAUAAUUUUGUAUAUCGUUGUUUAAAAAAUAUUUUUAAAUAAUAAUAAUAUUUUAAAUUUAAUAAAUAAAAAUUAAAUCAGAUCAAGAUGCAGAUAAUAAUUAAGAAUAUAAUGGAUUACAAUAAAUUUAUUUAAAUGAAUUUUAAUUUGUAAAAAUUAAUUGAAGGUGGAUUUAAAUGUAAUUUUAUUUAAUUUAUUAAAAUGAUUUAAAAUUAAAAUAUGUACAUAUUGCCCGUCGCUUUCAUAAAUAAAUUGAAAUAAGUCGUAACAAAGUAGAGGUACUGGAAAGUGUUUCUAGAAAUAA